AGCUCCAAUAGCGUAUAUUAAAGUUGUUGCAGUUAAAAAGCUCGUAGUUGGAUCUCGGGAGCAGGCUGGCGGUCCGCCUCGCGGCGGCUACUGCCCGUCCUGCCCUACCUGCCGUUUUUCCCGUGGUACUCUUCGUUGAGCGCCUCGGGUGGACGGAACGUUUACUUUGAAAAAAUUAGAGUGUUCAAAGCAGGCGGUUCGCCUGAAUAAUGGUGCAUGGAAUAAUAGAAAAGGACUUCGGUUCUAUUUUGUUGGUUUUCGGAACUCGAGGUAAUGAUUAAAAGGGACAGACGGGGGCAUUAGUACUGCGGUGUUAGAGGUGAAAUUCUUGGAUCGCCGCAAGACUGACUACUGCGAAAGCAUUUGCCAAGCAUGUUUUCA
This 381-nucleotide ribosomal RNA is filed under the name marine Metazoa environmental sample. Its description in RNAcentral is "SSU rRNA". It matches the Rfam family "Eukaryotic small subunit ribosomal RNA", at positions 587 to 972 of the family's 1831-position model. Lineage: Eukaryota; Metazoa. The record is from RNAcentral.